Molecule: long non-coding RNA, 1139 nt
Filed under: Cricetulus griseus (Chinese hamster)
Lineage: Eukaryota; Metazoa; Chordata; Mammalia; Rodentia; Cricetidae
Description: lncRNA (ENSCGRG00000026467.1)
Source: RNAcentral
CCUUCCUCUCCUCUUCCCCUUAAAGCGGCAACCAAUCCUUCCAGGAGCGAGAGGUGGCCCCACGCUAGGUCCAGGACUUUGGGCGGGGAGGAAGCUGGGUUGGCGGCGUCCGUGCGGGGGCGUCGGAGCGGGAGGGCCAGAGACCAAAUCAAGGGCCCGGAGGUAACUGUGAGUCCAGGGCUCUGGUGGGAGUUGGGUGAUCGCCUAGUCCCUUUGAUUGGACUGUGUCCGCUCUCCUGGAAACUUGAGACAGACCCCCACCGUGAUACAGGAAAAUAGGGAAGCUAGGCUUGGCCUCCAAGACUGCUACUAUGGAACAAAGGAAGAGCACCAACUACAUACAGUCUGCUGAACACUUCAAGUUAUGCUAAUCACAACAUAGGAUGAGCAUCCCUAAUCCAAAAAUCCCAAGUUCAAAAUGCUACAAAGUCCACAACAUUUUGAACACAGACAUGACAUCACAAAUGAAAAAUUCCACACCUGACCUCAUGUGAUGGGUUGCAGUCAAAACACAGGAAAGAGAAGCCCAGCCAGGGCUGGAGAGGUUGAAGAAGGAGCGAGAAGCUGAGAAGUGGGAGUCUGGCCAUCUGGGAGGGACUGGGAAUACUUUCCACCCUGAGCAACGCUUCCUGGCAACGUCUGCCCACAGAGGGCUUGCCUGGUGUCCUCCCUUCCUCAGCCAUAGAGUCCUUUCCAAGGCUCACUACAUGUAAAGCAGCUGGCAUCUCCUUACAAGGACUCCUAGGCGACGUUACGACCCCUAAGUACAGAAGAGCAAAUAGGAUUCAGAGAACUUAUGUGAAUGCCUCAAGUUGGCACAGCUCUACAGUGGAACAACCAGGUCCCAACCUGGGGCAGGACAUUUCCAGCUCAUCCCAGUUUGCGCCACCCUCACUGGAGGUGCUCGGAGGUUCUGGACUAUUAGUGUAAGAGUGAUACCUGCAUACACAUGCCAUUCUCUCUGAAUUUUUAAAACAAAGAAGCAUGUAUGAAUAGAAAAUGAAUCACCUUUCCUUUAUCAUUCUCUUUAUUCUGAAUGGAUUUGAGGACCAGGUGAGUUCUCAGACAGGUGAGUGGGAUUUGAACACAGUUGGAUUGGCUAGCAUUGCAUACAUAAUGGUGUUUGUGACUAUUGUGCC